CAUGGGGGUGCUGGAGCCGCAGGCGGCGGAGGCGCGGGGCUUGCUCCCGAUGGCGGAGGCGGAGGGGACGGGGAGGGUAACUGAGAGAGAAAAGAGUAGAUGGGUUAGGUAAAGAAUUUUUUAUAGCUGCAAUUUUAUUUUAUUUUUUUAUAUGUAAAUAGACAAUAAAGCCCCCAAUACUUAUGUAAUAGAUAUUGAACAAGUAAGGGUAAAAAUGUCUUUAUGAAAUGAUGGGUUGGUGCGUGUUGAAAAAAAAAGGAGGGAAAAUAUGGCGAGCUGGAUAAGGAAAUAUCGUGGCGACAAUUAUUGCCACUAGUA
RNAcentral lists this long non-coding RNA (318 nucleotides) under Ananas comosus (pineapple). RNAcentral describes it as "long non-coding RNA (ACOM_LNC042979)". The record is from RNAcentral. Lineage: Eukaryota; Viridiplantae; Streptophyta; Magnoliopsida; Poales; Bromeliaceae.